Molecule: transfer RNA, 69 nt
Filed under: Hypocryptadius cinnamomeus
Lineage: Eukaryota; Metazoa; Chordata; Aves; Passeriformes; Zosteropidae
Description: tRNA-Lys
Source: RNAcentral
CAUUAAGAAGCUAUGAACCAGCAUUAGCCUUUUAAGCUAAAGAAAGAGGAACGCACUCCUCCUUAAUGG